GGAGUUGUCAUAUAAGGAGAAACCCGUAGCUAUACUUGAUCGCCAGGUUAGAAGGUUACGUACAUAGGAUGUGGCUUCCGUCAAAGUGUUGUGGCAAAAUAAUAAUAGGGAGGAGAUGACUUGGGAAGCGGAAGACGAAAUGAAGAAUAAGUAUCCUUACUUGUUCCCCAUACCUGCAGGUAAUUCAAUUCCUAGAUUGACUAAAUUGAUUAAUAAACGAGAUUAUGUAGUAAGUUAUG
This 239-nucleotide long non-coding RNA is filed under the name Solanum lycopersicum (tomato). RNAcentral's name for it is "partial TCONS_00115886". The record is from RNAcentral. Lineage: Eukaryota; Viridiplantae; Streptophyta; Magnoliopsida; Solanales; Solanaceae.